Gallus gallus (chicken) is the source of this 6954-nucleotide long non-coding RNA. RefSeq lists it as uncharacterized. The record is from RefSeq and is a predicted model, not a curated record. The transcript has 3 exons. NCBI's taxonomy places the organism in Eukaryota, Metazoa, Chordata, Aves, Galliformes, Phasianidae.
ACACCUGCAGUUUGUCACUUCGCGAAGGACCCUGCAGGUUUUCCCUUCCGUCUGCCGGGCACUCGUUAACGAGGCUGCGGCGCCAUCUCCUGGAACGGUUGCCUCAAAAACCAGAUUUAUCGGCAAGCAGGGCACUGAUGAGCAAUGAAGACAGACUUCACCAAGCAGGCUGUUCUUCAGCCACGCCAUCAACCAGCUGUAAGAAAGGAUUCAUCAAAGGCUGAACUCUGGAUGAAACUACAGAAGAGUACGCAAGAUUUAAUCGAGGCAAGCAAGACUGGGUUUGCAGUGACAUAAAACAAACAAACAUUUGCAGUAGAAGAUGUCAAUGGUGGUGUACAAGCCUGAAGUACGUGUGUUUGAACAUUUCUCUGGUAAACAAAUAGUGCAGCAGCACACAGUGUUGUGACAUUUAAGACCAACUUUGUAAAAUAAAUACUUAAAUCUCCAACUACAUUCUUUGCCUUUUCAAAGCACUAACCACUUUACUCCUUGAUGCGUUCCAAUAUUAGCUGUAGUCCACAACAGCAGCAGGUCACUUUCUAAGAGAGAAGUUGUCUCCAGCAUUUAAAUAGGAUGCUAAAGUCAGUGAAGGAACUGUUUUUUAAAGCAUUCAAUUAUCAAAUAAAGGAGAUGGACAGAGCGUAAACACCAUCCCACUUGCUGUUACCACUUCUGAAAGCAGGAAGUAGGAGGAACAUGACUCAAUUUCUGCAGAAUGGUUUAGUUUAUACAUUGGAAUCACAGUGAGGUCCCAGGUGCAUUACACAGCAGCAAAUAUCCUCUGCUAAAAAUGAAUUUCACUUAUUGGAAUGAUUAAAAUAUUAUUAAGUCAGGGUGAGAUUUCCAAAAGGUGAUCAGUGAAGUAAGCAGAUUUUUAGAAUUAACCUCCCCUUAAAAAUGUAAUUGUGUACUUAACUAAAAGCACAAUUAAAAAAGACAUACCCAAAGUAAAGGCUACCGCAUAGGCCUGCGGAUUAGCACAAGUCCGCUAUCUCAAGAAACAAAGCUCCCUGACACCUACAUACCUGUUUGCAGAAUGUAUUGAGUGAUCAAAAAGGCAUGAUGAGAUUAUUUUAUGCACUCUAUUGUUCCCAUCUUUCAAUGGUGUGUUACCCAGCAUCCAUACACUGUAGGCCCUCACUCUGCACAUUUAACGGGCACAUAGAGAAACAGCACUCAACUUCUUUCUGCAGUGCACACGUACCCUCUUUAUACGAUGUUGGUAGGCAUACAAACAGCAUUUGUAUUUCAGUGUGUGAUUCUUUAAGAACAACGCAAGGGCUGACAGGUUAACCCUCUGAUUUACCACCAGGUAUUAAUGAGCCCCAAUCUGCUGCUAAAACCGGAGUUGUGUCCAAUUGGCCCAUGACAAGAAGUUGGAUUCUCUUGAGUAAUUCCUGCAGGUUUUGAGAUGUUUACUUCUUCUCUCAGCUGCAAGGUCUGAUCUCACAGACAUACAGGAUUUUACAAGGUCUGAAUUUUUUCCCCAGAUGUGCACCCCAAAACAGGGAAAUUACUUUGGUCAAACAAAAUCCGUUAUAAUCUACAGUGUUCUUCUUGAACUCCUACAAAAGUGCACAAAUCUGUCACUGGACCUCUUCUCUCCUGUUCUUCCAGACAUUAAGAAAUACAUAGGAAAAAAUAAACCUUGUCAGUUGCCCAACUGCUGCUGCACACUUUCCAAACCACCACUUGAACCCAUUCUCCCUUAACCAAAGACAACUUGUAUACAGUGGAACUGCUUUUGAUAGCUGAAAUACAAAAAAAUCUCAGAGCAACAUAAUCCCUAAUGAUACCAGUGUUAAGAAAAAGCAAACCAAUAAAUAUUAACCAUGUGCUACGCAGCAAUACAACACAGACUGACGUGUUGCAUGUGACAGUCUGCCCUCAUCCUCCUUUUAUCUUCAUGGGUCAGCCAUUUUCAGCCACCAAACAGAUCUGAAAGAAAUCAUCCAUGGAGAACUAGAAUUUUUACAAUUUCAGAUAAUUUUUGUCCUUAAAAAGCCCUUGAUUAUAUCCCAACAUUAAAACCUGAAUACCUGAAUCAAAUCAUUCUUUAAGAAUUAUUUUCUAUGUGUAGAAAUAACAUCCCCUCAUUUGUCUUAUGCACCUCUAUGGUUCAAUGACCGCACAAGGCUGAAAGUCAUUCAACCACAUCUCCGUUACCUGUUAUUCCUGGAAAGCACAACAACAAAAAAUGACAGUCCUGAAGAAAUCAAAAGACAACAGCACUACAAAAAUCACAGAAUUGUGGUAUUCCUCUUAUUCUAAAAAGCUGAGAGUGAAGGAGAGGAGCAGAUCUGAGAAGCUGUCAAGUUCUUAGAAACCUGAUCUGCAACUCAGGUAAAUACUGAAAAAAAUAUCACAAAACAACAGUGUGUGAUCUUCCACAUCAAACAAAUUUGCCAUCUUUCACAUCAGACACACGGGAGACAAAAAUAUCCUAUCAUUUUAAUAGAAUUGAAUUACUCUCAGGUUCUAAAGUUGGUGCCCAGUGGGAAAGCAGCAGUCUGACACUUUCCCUGGGCUUUACUUGGCAUGCCCUGUGAGGAGAGCCUGAGGGCACUGGGCUGGAGAAGAGGCUGAGGCAUCCUCAUAGAAUGGCUUGGGUUGGAAGGGACCUCAAGGAUCAUGGAUCUCCAACCCCUCCGCCACAGGCAGGGCCACCAACCUCCACAUUUAAUACUAGACUAGGCUGCCCAGGACCCCAUCCAACCUGGCCUUGAACACCUCCAGGGACGGAGCAUCCACAACCUCUCUAGGCAGUCUGUGCCAGCACCUCACCUCUCAUAGUAAAGAACCUCCCCUUGAUAUCCAACUUAAUAGGAGGCUCUCUGCAGCUCCCGAGGAGGGGAAGCAGAGGGAGCUUGUUCUACUUUCACAGCACUGAACUAUGUGACACAGCUUAUAACCUAAAGAAUGCCUCAGCAGUGCUGAACUGCCUCCAAAUUGUCAGGCGGGAGAAAUCCACGUUGUUAAGGGAAAUAAUUUCUUCAGCAUGAAGUAAAUAAAGUAUUGAAAAUACAGCUAAAGAACUUAAAACCCUCUGAAAAGGCUUUUCUUUUGAGUUGUUAUGUACUUUUGCCAAAACACCUCUGGAAGGCUGGAUGGAUUUUUAGUUUCAAUGGAAGUAGCAGUGAACAGCAACUGAGCCCUGAAGUUCCAGGAUCACAGAAGUUCACAACUUGCUAAUUCUUAUGUCUUCUGUAUUUCCUAAUCUUUCUAAAUAAGCUGAAAGGCAGAACACAAAAGAAAGCAUUGUCUUUUUUGUUAAAUAAAAAUAUCAGCAUGUUCAGACUUUUUUUUUUUUUUCUCAGUGCUAUUACUUCAGCUGACAUCUGUCCUCCAAUCAGUGUCCACGUGGUUCUCAGAGAAACAGUCUUCUUUCUUCUCCACUUCAGAGCGAGGUUCUGAAACACAACACAGACUACAGGAACCCUUCUGUUUGUUCUGGGGGAUGGAUGAUCUUUUGAAGAAGCCUACCACCCUACAGAGACAAAACUGCCCCAAUGCUCACAUCACCACCUGCAGAAAAACGCUGCUUCAACACUAUGUAAGAUGAACUCACUUCACUGUGGUCAAGAAAUCUGAUUUCCUCCCUAAAUUCCCCAAACAAUGAAAAAUGAAAAAAAUGAUACUGAUGAAAAAGUACAGUUUCGAUGUAAAAGAAUAUUUUGGCUCUAAGUCUAUACUGAAGAGCACUGGGGGAAUGCUUGCAGUCACAAACCCUGCCUGUUUGUGCUCAAUAGCACAAGAAGCAAAGCUAUCCGUCUCAUAUCAAAGAGUAAGGACAAAAAGGAAGUAAUGAAGCAACUGGUAGUUUUAAUUUAGAAAUGAUAACAAAUACUUUUUAUCUGAAGCUUGUGUCAAAUGGGAGAUAAAACCCAGAGGAUGCAGACUUAAAUGUUCGGUAUUUGUCAGAGAGGUGAAUUUGUCAGUCCGAAUCAUCACUAUAAACAACAACAGAACCAAAGCGUUUCUCAAGUGACAUCCUACAAUGGUUUCUGAGUCUUCCAAGGGGAAGAAAGGAAGGCGAUAUACCAGCACAUAUGCGCAUAGCUGCUAAAAUCACCGCUACCAAUCAGUGCACCAGAGCAGGGUGAACACGUUCCUGGUGUUACUAUUGAGUUAUAUUACACCAAAUACAAUAAUCACACAUAUCAACUUUGAACUCACGUCUCUCAUUUGAGUUGUGUUAAAAUAAUCCUUCAUCAGAGAGAAGCGGUGCUGCUUACCUGCAUACGAAUGGACCUCAUGCAAACAGGAGUUUUAUAAGAACUUGCUUCGUUUAGUUGACAUAAAUACAAUCUGAAUGCAAUUCAGCUCUGGCAACUGCUAUAUUAGAGGUAACACUGAAGGAAAAUGAUCAACUUUAAAUGCAGCAAAAUAUAUAUCUAAAUUAUAUACAGAAAUAUGUAUUUCUUUGUAUCUUGUAUAAUAUAAUUCUAAAAAUGAUUUAUUUUUAUUUUAAAGAAAACAUGUCCUUCGCAAGGAUGGCGAGAUCCUUCACAGAAAAAUGUGAGCACACUGAACAACCUCUUCUAGUAAAACCUUCAUUACUUUUGAGAUACAAAAACUGUUAAUGGCAACCAUGGCCAACCAUUUCUGCAUUAGGUGCGAGCUUAUUCAAUUUUCUCAAUUGCUUCUAUGCAAAACCAAGAAAAAUACUAGAGGAAAUGGUAACCACACCAGGAAUCUUUAAGAGCCGCCUUUCAGAAUUCCAGUUUUGUACUUCAGCUUCAGACAUUUAUUGUUCAAAAAACAGCUAGAGGUAUUUCUGACAUCAUCCUUAACAGAACUGCCUGAACCUAACUGCGCUAAAAGCAUAAAUACAUCAGGUUUAGUUAAGUAAACGUACUUGACAUACAGUAGGGGAAUAAAACAAAUGAUAAUAAUAAAAAAAUAUCUCCUCUCCCAAGAACAAGCACUUAGAUCAAGCAAUCCAGUUAAAGGCAAUGCAAUCUGAACAUGUAACUUAGUUAGAUCCUAUAAAACUAACACGUAAUAUCAGAAUUAUGGUACAGUUACAUCUUAAGUCUGUCUUCCUGCCUUGCUAAAAUAUCCAACAGCUACCCAGUGAGAAUCCUAUCUUGGAACUUCUAUAAUUUACAGAAAACUCAGACAUCUUCUUCAUUCUUUUGUAAAUUAAGUUUUAAAUUCUUAUGUACCCACCUGUUUUGUCAGUGGUCAAAAUAAAAAGUACUCUCCUGCAAGAAUGCAUUUACUGUGCCAUACAUCUCAACCUUUCCUUCUGUCCUUAAGUGAAGAUUAUUUGAAUCCACAACAUAGGCAUUGUGGUAGUCAUAAAAACAUACAUCACUCAGCUGUGAGUGUAAGUACCCUAUUUACUUACCAGUCCUCUAAUCCUUUCACAUAAUUUAGCCUCACAUUUCACGUCUAUCGUAUCAUUCUCAUACUUAAUUGUCGGUCUAAAAAAAAAAAAAGCUUAAUACUCUGAAAACUUAACACAAAGGAAAUAAGAUUAAUUUGACAACUAAUUAGCACAACAGAUUCUUAACCAGUAGGCCUGUAUAUUGCUGUAAUUGAAGUAGAUGAUUUAUACAGCAGGGGAGAAUGCACCUAAUUCACAGUGCAUUUCUACCAUAUGGUUUCUCUCUAGGGUCAUCCCAUACUUUUUCAUGACAUUUAGAUAUGCUGGUACAUUUAAUCUCAUUUAUUUCUACUUCUAGAAGACAAUUGAUACAUUAAGUACGAAGACUUCAGAGACAGAGAAAGCUACAAUUUCAAAAUUUCUACAGCAUUAGAAUUGUUAUUAUUGAAUGAGUUCAUAGAUUUCUUCAUUCGUGUCUUACAACUAAAGUAAAAUGCACCAAUAUCUCUUCUGCUUUCCUCAAGCUGUAAGUAUGUGAAGAACUCGCUCCUGAACCCCAGUGCUCACAGGAAACUCUCUCUGAAGUCAUAUACUUGUUUAGUCCUGUAGCAGCUUCUGCUACAUAAUCAAGUAACAGGUUUCCAAAAAUUGCAGCUAUUAGUUAACUAGAGGAAAAUCAAACUCAGACCUAACUAAUAGAGACAACUGACCAACUGUAUUAACUAAACAAUGACAAGACUCAAACUGAGGCAGUGGCUCUCCAACAUUUGCUAUUAAACUCCAAAAUCCAGCUUAUUAAAGUACUGCCAGCUACCAUCUUCUGGUCCCUUUAUAGAAUAUCUAAACAUAGUGAGUGCAGGAUUUUUCCCUUUCAGCUUGUUUCUUAACAUUUGUCUCUCUCUCUCCAGUCUUACAACCACUCCAUUUCCUGUCUCACCAAAAUACCAUACAACAGUAAGAGCACUGUGAUCUACUGGUGGUUCCAUGUGCCAGAAAACAUUCUGAUGGGUACAGAAUGAUGUGCUGGCAAUGCUUGCCGAGAUAAUACCAUACAUUAGUGCCCUAAUAAAAGCCAUUGCAUAAAGAAUAGGAGGUAGAAGGCAUUUGAAGAGACCUCCUUUCAUACUUGUUAAGAAAAGCAGAGUUGCGUCCAGAGUUCAGCAGCCAUUGAGCAGCUAAGUGAUCUUCUCUGCUCAUUUUACCUCCAGCUCAUCCUAUUUCCCUCCGAUCUUCUGUUUGUCCACCUAAUUUCCAGGGAAUUCAGCCUAUGAGUUUGAAAAGCCAUGAAAACUGCAGAAGCGGUCGUAUUUGCUGUGAGUACAUCUGCAGGGUCAUACUAUUGGCAUUUUUAAAAGCCAGGUUAAGACAACUAACCUCCAAUUCAUCCCUUCCUAUGUGAAUGUUCUGUAUGUUAAGAUACCUGAAAACUGCACUGAUACAGUAGCACUUAUUUUAACUUGUAUAACGAAUAAACUGCACAUGCUGUUUUACAGACAAUAUAUAUUUGUAAACUUGCUCAUGCAAAAUUAGUGUGCACAACAGGGAUAAUUGUUUUCUAAUCCCCACACCUUAAAAAAUGACAUUUAUGUCUGCUUCUUUUUGAACUGUGCCAAAACCCC